AUUGAACGCUGGCGGCAUGCUUUACACAUGCAAGUCGAACGGUAACAGUCCUCAUGGUGCUGACGCUUGGCUAACGGGUGAGUAAUGCAUCCGAACGUGCCCAGCCGUGGGGUAUAACUUCUCGAAAGGGUAGCUAAUACCGCAUACGAUCUAUGGAUGAAAGCGGUGGACCGUAAGGCCUCGCGCCAUUGGGGCGGCCGCUGGCGGCUUAGGUGGUUGGUGGGGGGAUGGUUCACCACGCCAACGACCGGUAGAUGGUCGGCGAGGAGGACAGGCCACAUGGGGGGGGGGACGCGGCCAAGGGUCCUACGGGAGGCAGCAGUGGGGAAUUUUGGACAAUGGGCGCAAGCAUGAUACAGCAAGGCCGCGUGCAGGAAGAAGGCCUUCGGGUUGUAAACUGCUUUUGUACGGAACGAAACGGCUCUGGUUAAUACCAGGGGCUAAUGACGGUACCGUAAGAAUAAGCACCGGCUAACUACGUG
This 482-nucleotide ribosomal RNA is filed under the name uncultured bacterium. RNAcentral describes it as "partial 16S ribosomal RNA". It matches the Rfam family "Bacterial small subunit ribosomal RNA", at positions 29 to 507 of the family's 1533-position model. The record is from RNAcentral.